This is a small nucleolar RNA of Lactuca sativa (garden lettuce), 93 nucleotides long. RefSeq annotates it as small nucleolar RNA snoR20a. Lineage: Eukaryota; Viridiplantae; Streptophyta; Magnoliopsida; Asterales; Asteraceae. The record is from RefSeq and is a predicted model, not a curated record.
GCCAUUGAUGACAGUUUAUAAUUAUGGUUUACUGAAAGCUAGUUUUUACAUUAGCUAAAUUGUUGAAAAUCAUGAACUAGGACGGUCUGAGGC